AUCCACCUGGGGAGUACGAUCGCAAGAUUGAAACUCAAAGGAAUUGACGGGGGCCCGCACAAGCGGUGGAACAUGUGGUUUAAUUCGAUGAUACGCGAGGAACCUUACCUGGGCUUAAAUGCAGAACGACGAUUUGGGAAACCGAAUCUCCCUUCGGGGCGGACUGCAAGGUGCUGCAUGGUUGUCGUCAGCUCGUGCCGUGAGGUGUCGGGUUAAGUCCCAUAACGAGCGCAACCCCUAUUGUUAGUUGCCAGCGGAUAAUGCCGGGGACUCUAACGAAACUGCCGGUGUAAACCGUGAGGAAGGUGGGGAUGACGUCAAAUCAGCACGGCCCUUAUGUCCAGGGCUACACACGUGUUACAAUGGUCGGUACAGAGGGCAGCUACCUGGUGACAGGAUGCUAAUCUCGAAAGCCGGUCUUAGUUCGGAUCGAAGUCUGCAACUCGACUUCGUGAAGCUGGAAUCGCUAGUAAUCGCGCAUCAGCAACGGCGCGGUGAAUACGUUCCCGGGCCUUGUACACACCGCCCGUCAAGCCAUGGAAGCUGGGGGUACCUGAAGUCUGUUACCGCAAGGAGCGGCCUAGGGUAAAACUGGUGACUGGGGCUAAGUCGUAACAAGGUAGCCG
RNAcentral lists this ribosomal RNA (626 nucleotides) under uncultured bacterium. RNAcentral's name for it is "bacterial SSU rRNA". It matches the Rfam family "Bacterial small subunit ribosomal RNA", at positions 867 to 1502 of the family's 1533-position model. The record is from RNAcentral.